AUGAAGUUGGCGACUUGCAUUCGUAAGGUGGCCUUGGAGGAGUUUGGAGUGUCCAGGGGAAGGAGAAGCGAAGAUAAGGAUACCUGGUGGUGGAAUGAUGAUGUCCAGAAGGCGCUUAAAGAGAAGAAAUAUUGCUUCAGACGCCUAUACCUGGAUAGGAGUGCAGACAACAUAGAGAAGUACAAGAUGGCGAAGAAGGCCGCAAAGCGAGCUGUUGGUGAAGCAAGGGGUCGGGCAUAUGAGGACCUCUACCAACGGUUAGGCACGAAGGAAGGUGAAAGGGACAUCUAUAAGAUGGCUAAGAUCCGGGAGAGGAAGACGGGGGAUAUUGGCCAAGUCAAAUGCAUCAAGGACGGAGCAGGCCAACUCUUGGUGAAGGACGAAGAGAUUAAGCAUAGAUGGCGGGAGUACUUCGAAAAGCUGUUCAAUGGGGAGAAUGAGAGUUCUACCAUUGAACUAAAUGACUCCUUUGAUGAGACCAGCAUGCGUUUUGUGCGGCGCAUCCAGGAGUCUGAGGUGAAGGAGUCUUUAAAAAGGAUGAAAGGAGGCAAGGCGAUGGGCCCUGAUUGUAUCCCCAUUGAGGUGUGGAAAGGUCUCGGGGACAUAGCGAUAGUAUGGCUAACCAAGCUUUUCAACCUCAUUUUUCGGGCAAACAAGAUGCCAGAAGAAUGGAGACGGAGUAUAUUAGUACCAAUCUUCAAGAACAAGGGGGAUGUUCAGAGUUGUACUAAUUAUCGUGGAAUUAAGCUGAUGAGCCAUACAAUGAAGCUAUGGGAGAGAGUCAUUGAGCACCGCUUAAGAAGAAUGACAAGCGUGACCAAAAAUCAGUUUGGUUUCAUGCCUGGGAGGUCGACCAUGGAAGCCAUUUUCUUGGUACGACAACUUAUGGAGAGAUAUAGGGAGCAUAAGAAGGACUUGCAUAUGGUGUUCAUUGACUUGGAGAAGGCCUAUGAUAAGAUACCGCGGAAUGUCAUGUGGUGGGCCUUGGAGAAACACAAAGUCCCAGCAAAGUACAUUACCCUCGUCAAGGACAUGUACAAUAAUGUUGUGACAAGUGUUCGAACAAGUGAUGUCGACACCGAUGACUUCCCGAUUAAGAUAGGACUGCAUCAGGGGUCAGCUUUGAGCCCUUAUCUGAGCCCUUAUCUUUUUGCAUUGGUGAUGGAUGAGGUCACAAGGGGUAUACAAGGAGAUAUCCCAUGGUGUAUGCUCUUUGCGGAUGAUGUGGUGCUAGUUGACGAUAGUCGGACGGGGGUAAAUAGGAAGUUAGAGUUAUGGAGACAAACCUUGGAAUCGAAAGGGUUUAGGCUUAGUAGAACUAAAACCGAGUACAUGAUGUGCGGUUUCAGUACUACUAGCUGUGAGGAGGAGGUUAGCCUUGAUGGCCAGGUGGUACCUCGGAAGGACACCUUUCGGUAUUUGGGGUCAAUGUUGCAGGAGGAUGGGGGUAUUGAUGAAGAUGUGAACCAUCGAAUCAAAGCCGGAUGGAUGAAGUGGCGCCAAGCUUCUGGCAUUCUCUGUGACAAGAGAGUGCCACAAAAGUUAAAAGGCAAGUUCUACAGGACGGCGGUUCGACCCGCAAUGUUGUAUGGCGCGGAGUGUUGGCCGACUAAAAGGCGACAUGUUCAACAGUUAGGUGUGGCGGAGAUGCGUAUGUUGAGAUGGAUGUGUGGCCACACGAGGAAGCAUCGAGUCCGGAAUGAUGAUAUACGAGAUAGAGUUGGGGUAGCACCAAUUGAGGAGAAGCUUGUCCAACAUCGUUUGAGAUGGUUUGGGCAUAUUCAGCGCAGGCCUCCAGAAGCUCCAGUGCAUAGCGGACGGCUAAAGCGUGCGGAGAAUGUCAAGAGAGGGCGGGGUCGACCGAUUUUGACAUGGGAGGAGUCCGUUAAGAGAGACCUGAAGGAUUGGAGUAUCGACAAAGAGCUAGCUAUGGACAGGGGUGCGUGGAAGCUUGCUAUCCAUGUGCCAGAGCCAUGA
RNAcentral lists this ribosomal RNA (1977 nucleotides) under Triticum aestivum (bread wheat). RNAcentral describes it as "partial small subunit ribosomal RNA". Lineage: Eukaryota; Viridiplantae; Streptophyta; Magnoliopsida; Poales; Poaceae. The record is from RNAcentral.